CCUCCAGAGCUCAGUUUAGAGACCUCCAGAUAUUAAACGGACUUCCUACACUUAGAUUACUUGCUUAACAUCAAGUAUUAAUAUGAAUGGCUGGCAUCUGACUCUAAGCCUUGUAAGAAUAGGAACUGAGUCCAACCCAUUCGCUGCUGUGCCACCAGUUCCCAGCACAUGCCUGGCACAUAGUAGGUACCCAAUAAAUAUUUGUUAAAUGAAUGAAUAGUCCUCUCAGGAAACAGAUAUUUUAGGCCAUUUGAAUUUUUCUCUGAUGAUCUUGUAUUCCCCAGUUUUUUCUCCAAUGAUCAUGUAUUCUUUGUGCAGUUUUUAAAAGGAAGAAUUUUAUUUAUUUAUUUUUUCCAAAGUUGCCCCGGCUCCCCUGAAUCUUGUGCUGAGCCAGCCUUGGUUGCAUGCACUCAGCAGAAACGAGCUCUUUCCCUCCCCAGAGCAGGAGGUGGCGAGGUGAAGGUGCACUGUACUGGGGUGGCACUAAGACCCUUGCACAGCACUGCUGGCAGCCAGCAAUCUCUUAGAACUGGCAGAUGUGCUCAAUCAGAUUAGUUUCCUCCUCCCCUCCUCGCUUUUCAAACCUUUCAGAGCUCUGCUACCAGGCCCAAGAGGAUUAUCCUCCAAUGGAAGGCACCAGGGAUUACUGCGGAAUCUGAUUUCACCUGCUCCCUCUGCUUCCUGGGAACGCACACGGCAGGCCACAGCCAGGCAGUGCUGGGUCUGAAUCCUCAGGAGUUUGCCCUGGACCUACGAGCACUAAACUCGACAGGCUGCUUAUUUGCUUAUGUUGUAGGACCUUGUCCCACAUGAAGAUAAAAUGGUGCUGCAGAAUGGAAAGUGCUUCACAAGCCCCCGGCACACAGAAUGGGCUGUGCUUCGAGCUGGUCAUGCACUUGCUCGUGGCAGGAACCUUCUAGGUAGGUUCUUUACAAUCCUCAGAGGCUCAGAGAAAAAGCUGAUGGGAGAACUCAGCUUCUACACCCAGAAGCAGACUUCAGAGUUAACCUGGGCUUGGCCUGGCCAGCAGUUAAAAAGCAGCCAGAAAAGAUUUUAUGAGUUUCCUGAUGCUGCACGUGCCUGGCAGACAUUUCCUCCCUUCCUCCUGGGACUGUGAGUGGGGCUGGCCCCUUGUCCCCAGCGCUGCCACCACCAAGCACCGUUACUCAGCUGCUUCCUCCUUAUCGACAAACUGCACAGGCAACAGAUGCCUAGAAGACUUCAGGCGAGUCCCCUGGGAGAGGCUGGGAACAGAAUUCUGAGUCCUUCCAAGCCAGACAAUAGCCAUGGAAUCUCUGACUUCUCUGAUGCACUUUUGAUUUCGAAAAUUUUCAAAUCAGAGAAAAGAUGAAAGACAACAAUGAACACAUAGGACCCUUCACCAGAUUCUGCCCUUGCUGACCCUGAUCCAUGUGUGCUCUGUCUAGGUGUAUUCUGUCUGUAAAUACUGGUUUUGUUAGACCAUUUCUAGUCAAGUUGCAGACGUGACAUGCCACCCCGAACACUUCAGCAUCCGUUCCUGAGGUCAUUUUCCUACAAAUUGUAAUGUUAUUAGCAUUUCUAAGACAUGAACAUUAAUGCAAUCACAUUUUCUAAUAUUCAGUCCACAUCUGACUUUCUCCAGGGGUCCUAAAAAUGCCUUUUAUAACCUUUGUUUUGUGUUUUUGGAUCCAGAAUCCAAACUAGGUUCACACAUGGAGUCUAUUACCGCUGAAGUCCCCUUGUUUCGUUUGCUUUUCAUGACACUGACUCUGGGAGAAUCUAGGCCAGUUGUCUUGUAAAAUGCUCCACAUUCUGGAUCUGCCUGAUUGUUUCCUCACAAUUAGAUGCAGGUCAAACAGUACAGGCAAGCAAAUGACAGAAGCUGUUCUGUCCUUCUCACCCACUGGACCAUAGCAGGAGUCCUAGGAAACGUCACUUUGUCCUGGCUUAUGUUAGAUCACUUGAUUAAGGUGGUGACACGAGACUGCUCCAGUUCAAGUUAUUGAAGGCAAGAAAGGUGCUUCCUACUCUUGGCAAAAAAAGGCACUGCUCAUACGCCCAGCAGACAAGCGUCUUUCUGAGGAACCAGGGGAGACAGAUUUUGAGCAAUUGAUGGAGAGGGUGUGAAACUACUCUGAGGGCACCAUGCUCUGGCAGGCUGUUUUUACUGUGUAAGGCAGUGCAGCGGGCAGUGCCCACACUCUGAUGAUGACUGUCCUGGAUUCUACGGAGUGGCAGCCGCUUACUAGCCAUGUGGUCUGGGGUAAGUCACAACUUCUUGGACCUGUGUUUCCUCAUCUGUGAAAUGGGAAGAAGACAAGUAGAUAGAAUUGUGGUGAGGGUGACAUGAUGGCUUAGUGUGCUUAGAACAGCACCCUUUGUAAACUUGUGCUCAAUUCAGAGCCAGCCCUGUAAUGACAGUCACAGCUACAAUGACAGUGGUUUGGUUUCUGGAUGAGAUUUGGUGUAGGGGAGAGAGAAAGCCAGGGACAAAGCAAGAAAACCCUUCAUCUGUAAGAGGGUGCUUCAGUGGUGCUCAAGGAAGGGAGAAAGCUGAGAGGACCACAGGGGUUGGAGGCCAGGUAGCCUCCCCUUAAGUCCCCUUAAGGACCUGCUGUAGCUGCAUCCAAGAUCUCUGGCCCAUUUCUGAUCCUGUAGUUAGGAAACAUCCUGGAGAAACAGGCCUCCAACACCAGCCAUUCCUGGGCUUCCAAAGUCCGCUGGGUAGACCUGGUGUGAAGGUGGAUCUGGGUACCCUGCCUGGCUGAGCUUCCUUUCUCCCUCAGGAAAUCAAGAAAAAGCUCUCUUCUUCUCCUUCCUCUCUCAAGAGCAGGGCUGCAUCUCCAGUCUCUGGCACAGAGGCCUUGAUAAAUAAUCAACGAAUGGAUGGAAGGACGGAUGGAUGAAAGAAUGAAAGCAAGCCCAUUUCUGACAGGCUGAAUCAAUUCCUGAGCCCAGUUUUAAAAAGAGACCAGAGGAACAAAUAUUACUCUCCUGCUGAUAAAAACACUUUAAACUCCUCAGAAGGCAAGACUCUGCUGCUGGGAAUCUAGAAGCCAGAGCUAGCAGAAUAACUGCCAGAGAACAUUCCAGAACGUAGGUCUGCUCCAGUCCAAGAAUAUCUCGGCAUGAACCUGUUUUACAAGUACCUACAAGUCGGGAGGCAUCAGACUUUCCUAGAAAAGUCCCAGAAACCUCACUAUGUCGGUGACAAAGAGAGACUUUUCCUGUCUAGACACCACAAUGCUUGUAAUUAAAAUUAAGAUUUAGGAGGUGGAGGGAGGCAACA
RNAcentral lists this long non-coding RNA (3271 nucleotides) under Homo sapiens (human). RNAcentral describes it as "HSALNT0330569". Lineage: Eukaryota; Metazoa; Chordata; Mammalia; Primates; Hominidae. The record is from RNAcentral.